CGCCGGGAUACGUGUUUACCGCAUGUGUGAUGUGUCUGCCUAAAACAUGUAUCCGGCUCA
Molecule: non-coding RNA, 60 nt
Filed under: Spodoptera frugiperda (fall armyworm)
Lineage: Eukaryota; Metazoa; Arthropoda; Insecta; Lepidoptera; Noctuidae
Source: RNAcentral